This 484-nucleotide ribosomal RNA is filed under the name uncultured bacterium. Its description in RNAcentral is "partial 16S ribosomal RNA". It matches the Rfam family "Bacterial small subunit ribosomal RNA", at positions 30 to 507 of the family's 1533-position model. The record is from RNAcentral.
AUUGAACGCUGGCGGCAGGCCUAACACAUGCAAGUCGAGCGGAUGAAGGGAGCUUGCUCCUGGAUUCAGCGGCGGACGGGUGAGUAAUGCCUAGGAAUCUGCCUGGCAGUGGAGGAUAACGUCCGGAAACGGGCGCUAAUACCGCAUACGUCCUGAGGGAGAAAGUGGGGGAUCUUCGGACCUCACGCUAUCAGAUGAGCCUAGGUCGGAUUAGCUAGUUGGUGGGGUAAAGGCCUACCAAGGCGACGAUCCGUAACUGGUCUGAGAGGAUGAUCAGUCACACUGGAACUGAGACACGGUCCAGACUCCUACGGGAGGCAGCAGUGGGGAAUAUUGGACAAUGGGCGAAAGCCUGAUCCAGCCAUGCCGCGUGUGUGAAGAAGGUCUUCGGAUUGUAAAGCACUUUAAGUUGGGAGGAAGGGCAGUAAGUUAAUACCUUGCUGUUUUGACGUUACCAACAGAAUAAGCACCGGCUAACUUCGUG